Leguminivora glycinivorella is the source of this 2212-nucleotide long non-coding RNA. RefSeq lists it as uncharacterized. The transcript is spliced from 2 exons. Lineage: Eukaryota; Metazoa; Arthropoda; Insecta; Lepidoptera; Tortricidae. The record is from RefSeq and is a predicted model, not a curated record.
GAGAUGGGGCGACCGAAACAGUGCUCACGCCCGUUUCAAAUGAUUUCGAUCGAUUUGAUGGGUCCAUUGCCAACUACUAGGAGAAGGAACAACCAUAUAUUGGUCGUUACAUGUUGCUUCUCCAAGUAUUGUUUGAUUUUUCCGAUUAAACAGGCAACUGCGGAUAUAAUCGUAAGGAUUUUAGAGGAGUCAGUGUUCCUUGUGCAUGGUGUACCGCAGACGGUGUUGAUGGACAAUGGCACUCAAUUCACUGGGAGAGUAAUGGAAAAUUUCUUCAAGUUGUAUAGUGUUCCUAACGUUUUUUAUAGCCCUAGAUACACGCCUCAAGUGAAUCUCGUGGAGCGUUACAACCGCACGAUUAUUACGUGUAUUUCUACGUUUGUAGAGGAUGACCAUAGGUCUUGGGACGUAUUUAUUCCGCGGGUUCAGUUUGCCAUUAAUAGCUCGGUUAAUGAAGUGACCAAUAAAACACCUGCAUUUCUAGUAUUCGGUCGCGAGUUGGUGCCAUGCGGUACACACUAUACGGAUAACGAUCUCGGCGAAGAAGUGUUGUUCCUACCACGUGACAUAUACGCAGAAAAUCUGGGUGUCAUGUCAGCCUUAUUUGACGAUGUGCAGCGAAGGUUGUGGCAUGCCCAUGUCAAGAACACGUCUCAUUACAAUAUUAGACGUAAGCCUGCUGAAUUUCAAGUCGGUGACAUUGUCAUGAAGCGUACCUAUUUCUUGAGCGAUAAGGGUAAACAAUUUACCAAAAAACUAGCCCCGAAAUUUAUUAAGGCUCGGGUAGUUGCUAAGAAAUCACCUCUAGUGUAUAUGUUGCAAGAUUUGUCAGGUAAGGAUUUAGGCACCUGGCAUAUAAAAGAUCUCAAAUUAGUUGGUGUUCAUAAAUAGUUUUUUUUUUUUUUGUUUUCUCGUGAGGUUAUUAUUAGUGUCACGUGUCCCCGUGUGGUGACGGGUUAAGAAUUUCCCCACUCCUUUUCCUCCCGUGGAUGUCGUAGAAGUCGACUAAGGGAUAUUGACUCAAUUGUGAUUAUAGCUACUGGUUGGAGGCAUUUUGCCUGCUUGCGGUAUCACAUUUUUUUUCCCCCUUCCCAAUUUUUGAUUGCCAAGGGCGGCAUUAGGUCCUUAGUAUUUUCAAGUUGCUCUCCCUACCCAUUUUGGGAAGUACCUGCGUUAGUCAUGAUGUAUGUUUGCUUGUUGUGUAUUAAUUUAAUUUCAAAAUAUGCGUGUUACCAUCUUUAGGCAAAAGCACGUGUAGGGUCUCAAGUUCUUGUAACAGGUUACCUCAGUAUUUUUUUUGCUAUUGAGCGUUAGUAAUUUUAUUUCAUUUUCCCAAAUAGUUACUAAUGUAUUCAUGGAAGCGUGAUGUAUGAAAGAUUAUUUACGAAAGCGUAUCGACAAGUGCUUAGCUCUGCGGAUUUUAUUUCAUUAAGAUGACCUAAAAUCCUUGACCACGCGCCGGGGUAUUGUAACGUAAAUACGUUACGUAACCUAGGUUACAUAUAUAUUAAGAAGUUUUAUUGAUUCAUAGCUAACUUACAUUCCAAUAUAAACGUAAUUAAUUCAUAAGAAACACUUACCUGCUUAUACUAGAUACGAAUAAUUAAAAGCGAUACAUUAAAAUCGUAAUAUUUAAGUUAUAAUUGCAUCCUGAUCCUGACCUAUGCAUUGCGCACUUUACCUUGCGCGACAUUCCUUCGUUGUAAAACCGGCCGGUGGCGCUCCCCGCCCCGCGCCUUACUCCACCGCUCCCGCGCGGCUUCACAGCUCGGGGCAGACAGAUUGAGACAUCGGCGCCGGCGCACGUUCGCUUUGCUCAAAGCUCGCGACUAUACAUGUAGCCGGCGUGAUUUUAAAUUUAUUUAAUUCCUAAUACGUCUUAGUGCUCGUUUAGUACCAAGUAACGUUUGUAUUUAGUGUUUAAAUCCCCAAUUGGGGAGCCAUAUUACGGCUGGAACUACAGCCCAGGCCGGGUUACGACGGUUCCGGAACCUCUACACAAGUUCCGGCAGAUCCGGAGCGGAGCGGCUGACGUCCCUCGGCGCGUUCCGUCUUCAGCCCGCAACGACACCAGCAGCUUCAGGGGAGUACUUGCGUGGUGGACCUGACCUCGGAGCAAAAUCAGUAUCGGCCUUACGAACCCACACCUAACGACCUUUGUUCGUGUGCUCACGCGGAGUUACGGCGAGAAUAAACCAGUUCUUUAUUUUAA